RNAcentral lists this transfer RNA (73 nucleotides) under Trichonephila clavipes. It matches the Rfam family "tRNA". From Rfam's summary of the family: Transfer RNA (tRNA) molecules are approximately 80 nucleotides in length. Their secondary structure includes four short double-helical elements and three loops (D, anti-codon, and T loops). The record is from Rfam by way of RNAcentral. Lineage: Eukaryota; Metazoa; Arthropoda; Arachnida; Araneae; Nephilidae.
AUCCCUGUAGCGCAAUGCAUACCGCGUUGGAUUUAUGAUCCAAAGGUUGUGGGUUCGAAUCCCACCUGGGAUG